UACGGGGGAUGCAAGCGUUAUCCGGAAUCAUUGGGCGUAAAGCGCCUGUAGGUUGUUUAUUAAGUCUGUGGUUAAAGACUAGGGCUCAACCCUAGGAAAGCAAUGGAAACUAAUAGACUAGAGUAUGGCAGGGGUAGAGGGAAUUUCUAGUGUAGCGGUGAAAUGCGUAGAUAUUAGAAAGAACACCAGUGGCGAAAGCGCUCUACUGGACCAUUACUGACACUCAGAGGCGAAAGCUAGGGUAGCAAAAGGGAUUAGAUACCCCUGUAGUCCUAGCCGUAAACGAUGGAUACUAGAUGUUGUGCAUGUACAGUAUCGUAGCUAACGCGUUAAGUGUUCCGCCUGGGGAGUACGCACGCAAGUGUG
RNAcentral lists this ribosomal RNA (366 nucleotides) under uncultured phototrophic eukaryote. RNAcentral's name for it is "SSU rRNA". It matches the Rfam family "Bacterial small subunit ribosomal RNA", at positions 524 to 896 of the family's 1533-position model. The record is from RNAcentral.